AGAGUUUGAUYCUGGCUCAGGACGAACGCUGGCGGCGUGCCUAAUASAUGCAAGUCGAACGCUUCUUUCCUCCCGAGUGCUUGCACUCAAUUGGAAAGAGGAGUGGCGGACGGGUGAGUAACACGUGGGUAACCUACCCAUCAGAGGGGGAUAACACUUGGAAACAGGUGCUAAUACCGCAUAACAGUUUAUGCCGCAUGGCAUAAGAGUGAAAGGCGCUUUCGGGUGUCGYUGAUGGAUGGACCCGCGGUGCAUUAGCUAGUUGGUGAGGUAACGGCUCACCAAGGCCACGAUGCAUAGCCGACCUGAGAGGGUGAUCGGCCACACUGGGACUGAGACACGGCCCAGACUCCUACGGGAGGCAGCAGUAGGGAAUCUUCGGCAAUGGACGAAAGUCUGACCGAGCAACGCCGCGUGAGUGAAGAAGGUUUUCGGAUCGUAAAACUCUGUUGUUAGAGAAGAACAAGGACGUUAGUAACUGAACGUCCCCUGACGGUAUCUAACCAGAAAGCCACGGCUAACUACGUGCCAGCAGCCGCGGUAAU
This 545-nucleotide ribosomal RNA is filed under the name uncultured Enterococcus sp. RNAcentral describes it as "bacterial SSU rRNA". It matches the Rfam family "Bacterial small subunit ribosomal RNA", at positions 8 to 524 of the family's 1533-position model. The record is from RNAcentral. Lineage: Bacteria; Bacillati; Bacillota; Bacilli; Lactobacillales; Enterococcaceae.